This 75-nucleotide transfer RNA is filed under the name Cordylochernes scorpioides. RNAcentral's name for it is "tRNA-Thr". The record is from RNAcentral. Lineage: Eukaryota; Metazoa; Arthropoda; Arachnida; Pseudoscorpiones; Chernetidae.
UGUCCAGGGAUGGGAUUCGAACCCACAAUGUUCCGCUUACCGGGAAGAUGCCAUGUCCACUAGGCUACCCUGGGC